Molecule: ribosomal RNA, 440 nt
Filed under: uncultured bacterium
Lineage: Bacteria
Description: bacterial SSU rRNA
Rfam family: Bacterial small subunit ribosomal RNA
Source: RNAcentral
CCUACGGGUGGCUGCAGUCGAGAAUCUUCGGCAAUGGGCGCAAGCCUGACCGAGCGACGCCGCGUGCGGGAUGAAGGCCUUCGGGUUGUAAACCGCUGUCGUAGGGGAGGAAGGCCGCGUGAAGAGCGCGGUUUGACCGAUCCUAGGAGGAAGGGCCGGCUAAUCUCGUGCCAGCAGCCGCGGUAAUACGAGAGGCCCAAACGUUAUUCGGAUUUACUGGGCUUAAAGAGUCCGUAGGCGGCGCAGAAAGUGGGGUGUGAAAUCCCUCGGCCUAACCGAGGAAUUGCGCUCCAAACUACUGUGCUUGAGGAACCUAGAGGUGAGCGGAACUGAUGGUGGAGCGGUGAAAUGCGUUGAUAUCAUCAGGAACACCGGAGGCGAAGGCGGCUCACUGGGGGUUUUCUGACGCUGAGGGACGAAAGCCAGGGGAGCAAACGGGA